Molecule: long non-coding RNA, 2099 nt
Filed under: Gossypium raimondii (Peruvian cotton)
Lineage: Eukaryota; Viridiplantae; Streptophyta; Magnoliopsida; Malvales; Malvaceae
Description: long non-coding RNA (GRAI_LNC001930)
Source: RNAcentral
UUGCCCUAAAUCCCACCCUAAUAUUCUCAAUCUCAGUCGACAGUCGAACCAGGAAAACAAAAAACCCACAAUUUCUCUUCUGCCGGAGUCGCCGAGUCGGAGUGUCGGACCACCAGGGCCAGGUUUGCUUUCUUCUAAUUUCCCUUUCUUUUUUUUUUCCAAUUUCUUGAAUGGGUCUUUAUUGAAUCUGUAGUUGACUGAUAUAGUAUUCGAUUUUCUGGAGAAAAUGAUCUAGAUUUCGUGGAGGAUAAAAAUAGUUUCUGGAUUUUGAAUUUUUUUCCCUUUAGGAUUGAAUUAAAGGUUGAUAAACACGGGGGAGGAGGAUUCUCUCGUCUCUCCACUGAAUUUCUGUUGACUUUAAUAAUGAAAGGAAUUUUUAAAAAAUUUUUUUUUUGCCUUUCUUUCAUUUUAUUUGCAUACUUUGCCCUUUACUUAUAUGUCGUCAUUAAUCGUCAAUGUUAAGCCUAAUUCUGAUAGGUUUAAUCAUCCUAUAUUCAUGCAUUUCCUUUUUGAAGAUUUUUAAUUGGUACGCAUUCAACAUUUCCAUUUUCUUUUUCUUUGAAACCCUAGAAUUUCACCUAAAUCUUUCAUUAACUAUAUAUGUAUAAAUAUCGAGGAUAUUCAAGCAAUCCUCUUUUGAAUUUAUUAUAAGAGAAAAUACGAUUUUCUUCUUUUGCUAACACCCGAAAAUAUAGUUUUUAUUUUUGACCAAGAAGAUUCCCUCACUUUUGAUUCAUUUUCUCUAUGUGAAACAUCUUGGUUAAAGAAUUCAAACAAAACUUUGACUAGUGUAAUUCAUCAUUAUAUGUUUAUAGUUGACCAUCUGAUAAGUAAAAAAAUGAUUAUAAUAGAAGGUGGAUUAAUUUGAUUAGGCCCCUAAAAUAGAAGGACCUUUCAAGUAUAUUUACCUAUCUGUAUCUACUAUUUUAUGAUUAUAUAUGUAUAUGUACGCAAUCUUAUUUUUGUUUGAAUUAUUUCCCUUUGGUCAUAAAAGCAGGCCAUGAGAUCACUGUUGAAGAAUGCACCGGUGUAGACGCAUAAUUUGUUUAUUGUGUAUUUUAGUGACGGAAUCAAGUGUCGACAAUUCCAUGCAUUUGUUAUGUUUUUGGCUGUUUUAAGUUUUAACUUAAGAAAACCACAGAUAUUGGACGUUUCAACAAUACAUAAUAAAGUUUUGUUUCUUUUUUUCUUGCAUUAAUUGCAUGCACCACAACAGUCGAACUUGGUAAAUUUAUGAUAUAAAAAUACUGUAACAGUCUAAUAUUGUAGAUGCAUAUGCAUUGUAAAUUUGUAAUAGAGAAAUCAGGAUAUGGUUUUGUCUUUUUUCUUACAAAUUACUCUUGAAAAUUUGGGCCCUUCCAAGUUGAAAUAAUUGCUUAUUCAUUUCAUAAUACUAUUCUCCUUUUUCGUUGGCCAUAUGUAAUUCACUACUGGGCACCUUUCUUGAAGUUUAACUAAUCUUUUACUUGUCCCGUGGGAUCAUUAUAUUACCAAAUUAUAAUCAAACUCUCGAAUAUAAUUCAUUUUGGACUUAAUCAUUAACUUCAUUUAAAAAAAACUUUAUAUCAUUUUGGACUUAAUCAUUUAAAUAAUUUUUUAUUUUGCAUCAAUUUAAUUAAGUGUUGAGUAUAGUACGUGGAUGAAAAUCAAAAUUCGAAAGUAUUCCUCCUAUUUACAUCUAAUGGAAUACCAAUUCUUAACUAAUGAUGCUAGGUUUUCGACAAGUUAUUAGACCAAACUCUUGAUAUUUAUUUAUUUAUACAUACGUAUGUAUUUAUUCAAUCCCACAGCACCACUUAACUAAGUCUAAGAGAUAUAAAGUUUUUUUUAAAGUCUUGAUAUAAAUGAUCUAAAUAAUAUUGCAUCAAUUUAAUUAAGUUUUUGGAUUUGUAAAUAAUAUUGUCCUUGACAGUUGACCCCAAGUUUGUCGUAUUAUUUUAAUUUAUUAUAUACUUUUUUUCUUGAAGAAUGUCAACCGAACCAACAUCUAUUGAGGGUAGUGUUACACCUCCUACUUUGAUAGAUUCUGAAAAUUCGGGGGUUGGAGCUUCAAUCCAAACAAAGGGGACUACGUCCGGGAAAAGAAAAGCCUCUCCUCA